Molecule: ribosomal RNA, 451 nt
Filed under: uncultured bacterium
Lineage: Bacteria
Description: bacterial SSU rRNA
Rfam family: Bacterial small subunit ribosomal RNA
Source: RNAcentral
GAUGAACGCUGGCGGCGUGCUUAACACAUGCAAGUCGAACGGUGAAGUGAAGAGCUUGCUCUUUGCGGAUCAGUGGCGAACGGGUGAGUAACACGUGAGUAACCUGCCCUUGACUCUGGGAUAAGCACUGGAAACGGUGUCUAAUACCGGAUACGACCUCUGAAGGCAUCUUCUAGAGGUGGAAAGAAUUUCGGUCAAGGAUGGACUCGCGGCCUAUCAGCAGUUGGUGAGGUAAUGGCCCACCAAGGCGACGACGGGUAGCCGGCCUGAGAGGGUGACCGGCCACACUGGGACUGAGACACGGCCCAGACUCCUACGGGAGGCAGCAGUGGGGAAUAUUGCACAAUGGGCGCAAGCCUGAUGCAGCAACGCCGCGUGAGGGACGACGGCCCUCGGGUUGUAAACCUCUUUUAGUAGGGAAGAAGCGAAAGUGACGGUACCUGCAGAAAAG